UACGGAGGGCGCUAGCGUUGUUCGGAAUUACUGGGCGUAAAGCGCACGUAGGCGGCUGUGUAAGUUAGAGGUGAAAGCCUGGAGCUCAACUCCAGAAUUGCCUUUGAGACUGCAUCGCUCGAAUGCGGGAGAGGUGAGUGGAGUUCCGGGUGUAGAGGUGAAAUUCGUAGAUAUCCGGAAGAACACCAGUGGCGAAGGCGGCUCACUGGACCGGUAUUGACGCUGAGGUGCGAAAGCGUGGGGAGCAAACAGG
This 253-nucleotide ribosomal RNA is filed under the name uncultured bacterium. RNAcentral describes it as "partial 16S ribosomal RNA". It matches the Rfam family "Bacterial small subunit ribosomal RNA", at positions 524 to 776 of the family's 1533-position model. The record is from RNAcentral.